AAAGAUACGUUACAAGCAUAUGAAAAUCUCAAUUUUAUUAACAAGCUUAUACAAAUCAAAGCUGCGGUUUCGCUAUUUUCUGCUCUUACAAAAAUUACACUAAUCAAGAAAAUUCCAAAAGUGUCCGCUGGCGUUCGCUCCCCCGAUCCAUGUCGGUGCCAAUUCUUACAAGGUCGAACUAUGAUUUUUUUUGCUCCUGAUUGUAUUGGUCAAUAUGUAUAUUACUUUUAGGGUUUUGAUUAUCUUAGGAGCUGGUUGAGUUGUUUUGAGUGUGAAAUUACAAGUAAAGUUCGGAUCAAAGGCGUGUCGUCUGCCUUAGUUUUUCGAUUGCCGGAAGGCUGUUCAUUAAUAUACGAGUGCUUGAUUUAUAUCUUUCAAUCACAGUUGAUGAAUAACGUGUUCUAAUUUUGAAGGUGUUGGAUGUUAAUUAGUCGUUAUUAGUUUUCUAUUUGUUUAAUAUCUAAGAAUGCAACUACCGGCUAGGCUGUGUUAUGAAGUGUAGAUUUGAGUUAAUUGGAUAUAUUGAUCAUGUCGUUGUGUUGAGUUCAAUGAAAAAAUAUAAUUUGAAUACUUAUCUAUUUUUUAGUCUUCCCCCAGCUACACAGUUCCCUCUAUUCUUUCAGUAGUCCUCCACUAUUGGCAUAAGGUUUGCCAAGAACUAAUUAAAAUCAAGUUAGACAACUUGAAGGUUCUGGAUUAAAUGCAAAUGAUCAAGUGUAGGUAAAUAUCUAUUCUUUUUAUUGGAUGAUUUUAACCUAACCCCCUUUUGUUUUAGAAGAGUGCGAGGGGAGUCUUAACAAAUAUAUGACUAAUAAUUGGUUAAUUAAAGAUAACUCCAAGCCUCCUAAUUCUCUCAAUUUAGAUGACCGUUUCGUUUAUAUGCGCAGUUAAAGCUUUCGUUGUGUUUAUGUUAUCGAUUUUUGGUGUGAAUUCGGCGGGUCGUCUCCCCUUAAUUUCCGCGGUUCCCUUCGGUCCGAUCACACCCCGACCAUGCCCAUUUCGGAAGGUUUCUGAGUUUAUGACUUUUCCUAAUUCAUGGAGCUAAUAUUGCACACACUAAUGUCUUGCUGCAGUUUCAUAUUUUUUUGUGCUUUUUGAUCGUGAAUCAGUGAUGAAACAUGAUUUUAAUCUCUAUUUUUGCACUAUUUUAUUGGUUUGGUAUUGUUAUGUCUUGUUUGUUGUAGCUACACACUUGCAACUGUUUCGAUUUGCUCUUUGGUGAUUGAUCAUUUAGUAAAGCUUGGUAUAAUGGGUACUGGGUAUCCUGACUUGACUUUCAUAUACAUGCCAAUUCAUAUGACGAAGUCUGUGUUGAUACCUUGAUAAAUAUGUUUGUUUUUUGGUAUAUUAUUAUUUUAUUUUUUGCUGAAAAUUUCAACAGGGUUAUUUACUGUGAGCUAUUUUGUUUGUGUUAUAUCUAUGUACGAUGAAAGAGGGUUGUGCGGUCUACUUUAGAAUAUAAGUAAGAUGUUCAUUUAAAAAUCACCUGUGCAUAUCACAUGCUGAUGGUUAAAAUCACAUGUGCCUCUCUUAAUUAUAAAUUUACUCGGUCCUGUCUUGAGGCACAAAAAAAAUGUUGAUUUUGAUAGCUAAAUAAAACUUCCAUGUAUAUAUCGCAUGCAAUAGUGUCCAAUAGAAUUGUCUGAAUUUGCUUGUAAGACAACUAGACAAUGUUUUAAAUUUUACAGGUUGCAAUUAGUUGUAUGGUUGCCUUUUCGUUUAUGUUUUCAGGAAGUGUUUCGCUUAAUUUUCUGUGCUGAGUGGUCAUUUUAGUGGAGCUUUUGCUGGGCCUUGUGGCAAAAUUCGUGUUAGAAAACAAUAUGUUUUAUUUUUCAGGAUAGAGGUUAAUCUUAAAACUGAUUUAAUGUUUUCACUGAUGAUUAGUGAGUAGUUUAAUAAAAGUCUGAUUUUAGUAUGUAGAAAGAAGUAUUCCAGUCCAAGGUGUUUGUGAGAAUGACCCUUUGAACUUAAGCGACCAAGCUACUAGAAAUAUUGGGCGGCCUAAGGUUACCAUCAGCGAGGAUGUUUUGGAAAGGUGAAGGCUAUCUAAGCGGAGGCAAAAUACUCGGCAAACUGGCCAACAAGGUUUGUAUGCUAAGCUCGCAUAUUCUCCAGGUGAAAAUGCUGGUAUCAUUAUAAAGGUUGUCAAUCUGGAAAUGGUUUUGGUUAACCAUGUUGAUGGUACAUUUCUUGCAAAAAAUUGAGAAAUCAGAGGUCUCAUUACUUUGCUUCCCCUUCCCUCCUGCUGUCUUUAAGCCCACCAUUUUUUACAAUUUGAGGCCUAAUGGCCGCAAUUUAGUUGCAUUGUACUUAAAAUUUCUUUCUUGCAGUUUUGCAGGAUCAGGAUCCGAAGCAGGUCCGAAUAGUGGUGGGCUGUCUGUAGGUGUAUCUACUCUAUCUGUUUAAUGCAUCGUGUAUUGUAUUUUGUCUUUCUUUUGUGAUAUAUUAUUUGCAGAUGGGUGUAUGUACUGGCAUGUUAAGGAUUUGAAUUUAGUUUUGUGUCAACUACUGAGUAUACUAGAUAAAUAGAUAUGUUAAGUAAUUAAAUAGAAGGAAAGAAUAAUAGAACUAGGCCUCACCAGUUGCUUAUAACGAAUACUCUAUAAAUUUUAACUUAAAAAGUUCCUAAUUUGCAAACACCUUUCCAUGUGUUAGAUAGGUUCUCUAUGAGUUCCAAGAGAAUUGAUGGCUAUCUUACACAUAUGUGUAACCUUUUAUAGGGUUAUUAAUGGUCCUUCUUAACAGGAUUGAUGUUGUUGGCGGCCUCAAGGGCUAAGCUAGAGUAAUUAUCUGAAAUUCUUAAAAGUAAUUUUGGAUUAUUCACUAUUGGUUAACAGUCGUCGCUCAUGUAACUUGUAUAUUUGAUUGUAUUCAGUCCCUUUCUGGUCCGGUCGAUGAUCCCAUCAAGCUCCCAAAAUGGAAUUUGAUGGAUCAAGUACUGGUCAGGCACCAGGGGAUGAUAGUGAAGUGAUCGUAAAUUUAUCAGUCCUUAAGCAAUAUUUAAGGAUCCAUUCAGAAGGGGUAACCACAUAUUGGUAUACACACCAGCUGAUGAGCCAAUUCUUACAAACAACAGAUGUAAUGCGGCUAAGAUUUUCAGCUGAAGUUCCUUGGUUUGGUAUUGAGCAAGAAUACACCCUAUUGAAGAAAGAGGUCAACUUCCUGAGAAUUGUCGUGACAUUAUUAGAAAAACAUAUAUAAUAGUUGAAAAUAUACCUUCUCCAAGAGUGAUUUUCUUGAUGGUUUUAGCUCCGCCGUCUCUGGAAAUAAUCUUGUGCUCUUAAUAGCCCGAAGCAAAAACUUAAGAAUAAUGUUAUCCAUGUCAAGGAGACUUGUACACUGUUUGUGCAGAGACUGAGGACACAAGCUCAACAGUCAACAUUGACAAUGAGAUGCAUUUUUGUUUGAUGUAUUUUGCGUAUCUGCUGCAGCAUUUAGUUAAAAUGGGUUUGAUAUAGUUGAGCCUUUGAUAAAUGAGUUUGAUGAAGGUAAAAUAAGUUGUUGCAAGGGUUUAGCUGGUCAUAAUAGACGGAGAAGGAAGACGCAUCCUGAAAAUGCAGCUAAUGCAGUCAACUCGAAUGAGGAGCAGUAUUUAUAAGUCUGCUUACAAUUAUGUCCAAUGCACACUGAGCAGAAUUGGACACAUUUCUUAAAUAGUUAGCACACUGUUGAAUUUCAACUUGAUAGCACAUUGAAGAUGAACAUACAUUCUUGGCCAAUUUGAUUUGGAGAUUCUUUGUCGCGCAGGUUCAAGGGCCAUAAGACAAGGAAUUACAUAAAUUAUUAGCGGGUCGAGGUAAUCCAGAGUAAUCAUGUGACAGAUUUUGAGCUUGUGACUCUCCACCCUCAUUUCUGCUAAAGAGACAUUAACGCCGGUGGUAAUACAAGGUUUUUUCCCUUGGGAUGCUUAGAGGAAACAGAAACACCUGGUUGACAAAUUUGUAUGUUCCAAUAGGAAAAAUUACCUCUUCCAGAUACACGUAAACAAAUUUAUUAUGUCAAUGGACAGAGGAGCGCCAAUGCGACAGCCUUCAUUGCAGUCCAAUACCUUUUGAUAAAAUCAGGAUUCCAGAUUUGAGAAAAAUACAGGAUGUGGAAGAAACUGGACGAGAAUUUUACUUUUUUAACCAGAAUUACUUUGGAACAAAAAGAAGGCAGUGACGCUGAACGUAAUGGAGAGGGCGACAAAAUUACACGCAAUUGGAGUCUUCUAAAAAGCUCUCCUGAACUUGUUGCUGGACAAACCCGCAUUCUGCGGAAGGGGCACACAUAUCUUGCAUAUGCAUAUAAAGUUGCCAAACUAGGUCAGCAUUGUGCCCGGUGUUUUGAUUCCAGUUUAUAUGCCCCCCAACGAUAAAUAUUUUGUCCUAUUUAAACUGACAACUUUCACUACAUAAAUGCGGAUGAGUGUUCAGCACACUUUUGAACACAAAAUGAGAGUGGAAGACGACAUCAUUUUUGUCAAAACUGGUAUAGAUUUCAACCAACAAAUACGUUAAUCUUCUUGGGGCAGCAAUCGUUACAAUGCGAGAUCAUUAAAUACUUUCUAGAUAUGAUAGAGCUUAUUCACCUCUAAUCAUGGAAUGUGUAGACUUGCAAGUUUGUCCAAAAUAAUUUAAAAUAGUUGUGUUAUUCUUUUAUAA
This is an RNA transcript of Daucus carota subsp. sativus, 4643 nucleotides long. It is a transcript of the gene named glutamine synthetase cytosolic isozyme-like, with no coding region annotated. The record is from RefSeq and is a predicted model, not a curated record. Lineage: Eukaryota; Viridiplantae; Streptophyta; Magnoliopsida; Apiales; Apiaceae. The transcript has 10 exons.